CCUACGGGCGGCAGCAGUGAGGAAUAUUGGUCAAUGGACGUAAGGCUGAACCAGCCAAGUCGCGUGAAGGAAGAAGGAUCUAUGGUUUGUAAACUUCUUUUAUAGGGGAAUAAAGGUAUCCACGUGUGGCUAUUUGCAUGUACCCUAUGAAUAAGCAUCGGCUAACUCCGUGCCAGCAGCCGCGGUAAUACGGAGGAUGCGAGCGUUAUCCGGAUUUAUUGGGUUUAAAGGGUGCGUAGGUUGUUUUUUAAGUCAGCGGUGAAAGUUUGUGGCUCAACCAUAAAAUUGCCGUUGAAACUGGAAGACUUGAGUGUGUUUGAGGUAGGCGGAAUGCGUGGUGUAGCGGUGAAAUGCAUAGAUAUCACGCAGAACUCCGAUUGCGAAGGCAGCUUACUAAGCCAUGACUGACACUGAAGCACGAAAGCGUGGGGAUCAAACAGGAUUAGAUACCCCGGUAGUC
Molecule: ribosomal RNA, 460 nt
Filed under: uncultured bacterium
Lineage: Bacteria
Description: partial 16S ribosomal RNA
Rfam family: Bacterial small subunit ribosomal RNA
Source: RNAcentral